UACACACACACGUACACACACACGCGAACAACUCCCCCCAGUGACAGCUUAUGUUAGAGCGUAACCCGAGAGAGAGAGAGCUGAGUUUAUGUACCGGAUACAGACCAACAUAGCUCUGUUUAUUUGUUCUGGAUUUCUCCAGUACUCCAGAGUGUUGGAACUCUCCUCAGGGGCGGUUACAUUGGAAUGUUCCCAUGUAAAACCUGGGGCGGAAUAUCAACAGUAAAUGGAUUGGCCAAUGGAAGUGUUCAUGUGCUAUUCUUAAGACCUACCGACAGCGAAUCCUAGUCCGUUAAUAACGGAGUACUGAAUGUUCUUCAUUCAAACCAAUGGCACGGUCAGUCAGUCAGUCAGACAUGUUAGGCAAUGGGACGGUCAGUCAGUCAGUCAGUCAGACAUACAUGUUAGGCAAUGGGACGGUCAGUCAGUCAGUCAGACAUGUUAGGCAAUGGGACGGUCAGUCAGUCAGUCAGACAUGUUAGGCAAUGGGACGGUCAGUCAGUCAGACACGUUAGGCAAUGGGACGGUCAGUCAGUCAGAUACGUUAGGCAAUGGGACAGUCAGUCAGUCAGACACAUUAGGCAAUGGGACGGUCAGUCAGUUAUACAUGUUAGGCAAUGGGACGGUCAGUCUGUCAGUCAGACAUGUUUGGCAAUGGGACGGUCAGUCAGUCAGUCAGUUAGACACGUUAGGCAAUGGGACAGUCAGUCAGUCAGACACAUUAGGCAAUGGGACGGUCAGUCAGUUAUACAUGUUAGGCAAUGGGACGGUCAGUCUGUCAGUCAGACAUGUUUGGCAAUGGGACGGUCAGUCAGUCAGUCAGUUAGACACGUUAGGCAAUGGGAUGUUCAGUCAGUCAGUCAGACACGUUAGGCAAUAGGACGGUCAGUCAGUCAGUCAGACAUGUUAGGCAAUGGGACGGUCAGUCAGUUAGACACGUUAGGCAAUGGGAUGGUCAGUCAGUCAGUCAGUCAGACACGUUAGGCAAUGGGAUGGUCAGUCAGUCAGUCAGACACGUUAGGCAAUGGGACGGUCAGUCAGUCAGUCAGUCAGACAUGUUAGGCAAUGGGACAGUCAGUCAGUCAGACACGUUAGGCAAUGGGACAGUCAGUCAGUCAGACACGUUAGGCAAUGGGACAGUCAGUCAGUUAGUCAGUCAGACACAUUAGGCAAUGGGACAGUCAGUCAGUCAGACAUGUUAGGCAAUGGGACAGUGAGUCAGUCAGACACGUUAGGCAAUGGGACAGUCAGUCAGUCAGACACGUUAGGCAAUGGGACAGUCAGUCAGUCAGACACGUUAGGCAAUGGGACGGUCAGUCAGUCAGUCAGUCAGACAUGUUAGGCAAUGGGACAGUCAGUCAGUCAGACACGUUAGGCAAUGGGACAGUCAGUCCGUCAGACACGUUAGGCAAUGGGACAGUCAGUCAGUUAGUCAGUCAGACACGUUAGGCAAUGGGACAGUCAGUCAGUCAGUCAGAUACGUUAGGCAAUGGGACGGUCAGUCAGUCAGACACAUUAGGCAAUGGGACGGUCAGUCAGUCAGUCAGACACAUUAGGCAAUGGGACAGUCACUCAGUCAGUCAGACACGUUAGGCAAUGGGAUGGUCAGUCAGUUAGUCAGUCAGACACGUUAGGCAAUGGGACAGUCAGUCCGUCAGACACGUUAGGCAAUGGGACAGUCAGUCAGUUAGUCAGUCAGACACGUUAGGCAAUGGACAGUCAGUCAGUCAGACAGACACGUUAGGCAAUGGGACGGUCAGUCAGUUAGACACGUUAGGCAAUGGGUCAGUCAGUCAGUCGACAUGUUAUUAUUAGGGUCUACAGUUUACCUCCGCCCCCUUGGUCUAUCCCUCUGACCUGAGGUACGUAGAGGAGUCUACAGUCCAUUACUAAUCAAACAUCGUCUCUCUGUCUGUCUCUCCUUAG
Long non-coding RNA from Oncorhynchus tshawytscha (Chinook salmon), 1926 nucleotides. NCBI's taxonomy places the organism in Eukaryota, Metazoa, Chordata, Actinopteri, Salmoniformes, Salmonidae. The record is from Ensembl.